This is a long non-coding RNA of Passer domesticus (house sparrow), 1796 nucleotides long. RefSeq lists it as uncharacterized. The transcript is spliced from 5 exons. The record is from RefSeq and is a predicted model, not a curated record. NCBI's taxonomy places the organism in Eukaryota, Metazoa, Chordata, Aves, Passeriformes, Passeridae.
CACUAACUGUAGCUGGAGGUAAUUGGAACUGCUGGGGCACUGUAACCCUGAAAGCUUGAAGCAAUGCUCUCUUUGUGAGGAGGAUGGUCCUUGGAUUGUCAAAGUUUCCUAGAGAUGUGAGAAAUUCAGUUUUCCCAGUGCACCAGUGCUUUUGUGCUGUAUGUGUUUUGUAUGACUAAUCAACACAACAAAGACAUAGCUGAGUAUUACUCAAGACAGAGACUUCCCCCCAUGCUAUUCAGAAAUGAAGCUUUCAGCUGCCAGCAGGAGAAAGUUGCAGGUCUUCCUGCAGGCCAUUUGGAGUCCUUGCAGCUGUGAGAGAAUUGCCUGGCAGACCUAGUAGUUCCACAGGAAUGUUUGACAGAAUUUGCAAUGUGUGGUGCAGCAAUGAAUAUCAGUCUGUGUUUGGAGAGAAAUUGGAACAGCAGAGUGCUACCUCAGACAAGAACAGUUCCUGGUCAAUUCCUUCUACAAAACCAUGACUGGCAAUGCUUCAGCAGCAUCUAGACAUCUUUAUGCCAUCAGCUGCUAGUGAAGCCAAGGAUACAGCAUUUGUCCCCAUCCUCUGACUUUCCCCAGGAAGACUGACAACUAGGAGACUUCAAUAUCCUACCAGAAAAGAAAAAUUGUUUAUUUUCCAACAUAUUCCUCUUAUUAGUCUUCUCUCAUCUACAAAUGAACUUCUACUGAAGUGAGGAGGGGAGCACCUGACUUAGCUGGGAAAAGAACUGAGAAUAUUUUCAAUGUCUUCCUGAUAACACUAAUGUCAUUGUUCAUUUCCAUUUUCUUGAAAUGUUGUAAUUUUCAGCAUUUUAAUGUAAUUUUGGUGGACAUAGUCUAGCGGAGAAUUCAAACCUAAAAUUUCACUUAUCUGUGGGGUUUUAUUUUCUAAUAUCUUCUUCAAUAUAUUUUAUUCAAAACUAGAUUAUUUGAAGGUCAUGUAGCACCAGAAAUCCAAUGAUCUUUAGCAAUGCAUAGAAAAGAUGCAAUUAAUUUAAACUGUAAAGUGAGUGAAACUGAAUUGCUGGGAGGGGCAGAGUAUUGCCCAUUUCUACUUCAGUGCCAAAGUGAGGAGUCAAUCAGUCCUCCUUUGGCUAAAGCAAGAGGGUGAGGAAAGGCAAAAACAAGUUUCAGUUCUUUGAGGGAUCUGAGAAGGCCACUUGGCCUUGAAAUGAAACAUUUAGUUGGGGGCUUUUGCUAAGAGAAGCAGAGGAAAAUGCAAGUUUGGAAUUAGGACCAGAAGGAAAAUGCAAGUUUAGAAUUAGGUCCAGGAGUGUGGCAAACACCCACAUCAGAAGUAUGAUGGUAAUGAUGCUGGAGCUGCAGAUGCUCCUCUGACCCCCCAGCCUGGACUCUCCCUGUGUCCACACAGCUUACACAUAGGACAAAUCUGGCCAUCUGCCACAGACUUGACCUUGUGUUUCCCAGUGGCUCCUGGAAAAUGCCAGCAUUCCAAAACAACUCCUAACUCAGGGAAAAGCCACCAUGGGAAAAGCUGCUGCACUGGAGAGGACAUAGCUGGAUCCUGCCUGUCUUGUCCUGGGUGUGGACACCGAAGCAGUUGUUUUUCAUAGGAAUUUAAUUAUUUUUGAUACCUCUCUCUUGCUUUAGAACAUUGUUGAAAUUGGCUGAGUGCUCUGCUACAUACUGUUGCAAAACGCUGUGAUGAUCUUUGAUAAACAGAAAUAUUUUUUGUGUAUUUUCCUAAUUUUUCUAAAAUCCUCUUUCCCCCCUGUUGGUUGAAGUUCAAAGGAGUAUUGUGUGCUCCAAAACAGGGGAGAAUGUUGCCAUGAUGA